RNAcentral lists this ribosomal RNA (331 nucleotides) under uncultured bacterium. RNAcentral describes it as "bacterial SSU rRNA". It matches the Rfam family "Bacterial small subunit ribosomal RNA", at positions 568 to 899 of the family's 1533-position model. The record is from RNAcentral.
UACGCAGGCGGCUUGGUAAGACAGAUGUGAAAUCCCCGGGCUUAACCUGGGAACUGCAUUUGUGACUGCCAGGCUCGAGUCUGUCAGAGGGGGGUGGAAUUCCACGUGUAGCAGUGAAAUGCGUAGAGAUGUGGAGGAACACCGAUGGCGAAGGCAGCCCCCUGGGAUGAGACUGACGCUCAUGUACGAAAGCGUGGGGAGCAAACAGGAUUAGAUACCCUGGUAGUCCACGCCCUAAACGAUGUCGACUAGUUGUCGGGAAUUUAUUUUCUCGGUAACGCAGCUAACGCGUGAAGUCGACCGCCUGGGGAGUACGGUCGCAAGAUUAAAA